Molecule: ribosomal RNA, 2329 nt
Filed under: human gut metagenome
Description: bacterial LSU rRNA
Rfam family: Bacterial large subunit ribosomal RNA
Source: RNAcentral
UUAAGCGACUAAGCGUACACGGUGGAUGCCCUGGCAGUCAGAGGCGAUGAAGGACGUGCUAAUCUGCGAUAAGCGUCGGUAAGGUGAUAUGAACCGUUAUAACCGGCGAUUUCCGAAUGGGGAAACCCAGUGUGUUUCGACACACUAUCAUUAACUGAAUCCAUAGGUUAAUGAGGCGAACCGGGGGAACUGAAACAUCUAAGUACCCCGAGGAAAAGAAAUCAACCGAGAUUCCCCCAGUAGCGGCGAGCGAACGGGGAGCAGCCCAGAGCCUGAAUCAGUGUGUGUGUUAGUGGAAGCGUCUGGAAAGGCGCGCGAUACAGGGUGACAGCCCCGUACACAAAAAUGCACAUGCUGUGAGCUCGAUGAGUAGGGCGGGACACGUGGUAUCCUGUCUGAAUAUGGGGGGACCAUCCUCCAAGGCUAAAUACUCCUGACUGACCGAUAGUGAACCAGUACCGUGAGGGAAAGGCGAAAAGAACCCCGGCGAGGGGAGUGAAAAAGAACCUGAAACCGUGUACGUACAAGCAGUGGGAGCACGCUUAGGCGUGUGACUGCGUACCUUUUGUAUAAUGGGUCAGCGACUUAUAUUCUGUAGCAAGGUUAACCGAAUAGGGGAGCCGAAGGGAAACCGAGUCUUAACUGGGCGUUAAGUUGCAGGGUAUAGACCCGAAACCCGGUGAUCUAGCCAUGGGCAGGUUGAAGGUUGGGUAACACUAACUGGAGGACCGAACCGACUAAUGUUGAAAAAUUAGCGGAUGACUUGUGGCUGGGGGUGAAAGGCCAAUCAAACCGGGAGAUAGCUGGUUCUCCCCGAAAGCUAUUUAGGUAGCGCCUCGUGAAUUCAUCUCCGGGGGUAGAGCACUGUUUCGGCAAGGGGGUCAUCCCGACUUACCAACCCGAUGCAAACUGCGAAUACCGGAGAAUGUUAUCACGGGAGACACACGGCGGGUGCUAACGUCCGUCGUGAAGAGGGAAACAACCCAGACCGCCAGCUAAGGUCCCAAAGUCAUGGUUAAGUGGGAAACGAUGUGGGAAGGCCCAGACAGCCAGGAUGUUGGCUUAGAAGCAGCCAUCAUUUAAAGAAAGCGUAAUAGCUCACUGGUCGAGUCGGCCUGCGCGGAAGAUGUAACGGGGCUAAACCAUGCACCGAAGCUGCGGCAGCGACGCUUAUGCGUUGUUGGGUAGGGGAGCGUUCUGUAAGCCUGUGAAGGUGUACUGUGAGGUAUGCUGGAGGUAUCAGAAGUGCGAAUGCUGACAUAAGUAACGAUAAAGCGGGUGAAAAGCCCGCUCGCCGGAAGACCAAGGGUUCCUGUCCAACGUUAAUCGGGGCAGGGUGAGUCGACCCCUAAGGCGAGGCCGAAAGGCGUAGUCGAUGGGAAACAGGUUAAUAUUCCUGUACUUGGUGUUACUGCGAAGGGGGGACGGAGAAGGCUAUGUUGGCCGGGCGACGGUUGUCCCGGUUUAAGCGUGUAGGCUGGUUUUCCAGGCAAAUCCGGAAAAUCAAGGCUGAGGCGUGAUGACGAGGCACUACGGUGCUGAAGCAACAAAUGCCCUGCUUCCAGGAAAAGCCUCUAAGCAUCAGGUAACAUCAAAUCGUACCCCAAACCGACACAGGUGGUCAGGUAGAGAAUACCAAGGCGCUUGAGAGAACUCGGGUGAAGGAACUAGGCAAAAUGGUGCCGUAACUUCGGGAGAAGGCACGCUGAUAUGUAGGUGAAGUCCCUUGCGGAUGGAGCUGAAAUCAGUCGAAGAUACCAGCUGGCUGCAACUGUUUAUUAAAAACACAGCACUGUGCAAACACGAAAGUGGACGUAUACGGUGUGACGCCUGCCCGGUGCCGGAAGGUUAAUUGAUGGGGUCAGCGCAAGCGAAGCUCUUGAUCGAAGCCCCGGUAAACGGCGGCCGUAACUAUAACGGUCCUAAGGUAGCGAAAUUCCUUGUCGGGUAAGUUCCGACCUGCACGAAUGGCGUAAUGAUGGCCAGGCUGUCUCCACCCGAGACUCAGUGAAAUUGAACUCGCUGUGAAGAUGCAGUGUACCCGCGGCAAGACGGAAAGACCCCGUGAACCUUUACUAUAGCUUGACACUGAACAUUGAGCCUUGAUGUGUAGGAUAGGUGGGAGGCUUUGAAGUGUGGACGCCAGUCUGCAUGGAGCCGACCUUGAAAUACCACCCUUUAAUGUUUGAUGUUCUAACGUUGACCCGUAAUCCGGGUUGCGGACAGUGUCUGGUGGGUAGUUUGACUGGGGCGGUCUCCUCCUAAAGAGUAACGGAGGAGCACGAAGGUUGGCUAAUCCUGGUCGGACAUCAGGAGGUUAGUGCAAUGG